RNAcentral lists this ribosomal RNA (464 nucleotides) under uncultured bacterium. RNAcentral describes it as "partial 16S ribosomal RNA". It matches the Rfam family "Bacterial small subunit ribosomal RNA", at positions 29 to 507 of the family's 1533-position model. The record is from RNAcentral.
ACGAACGCUGGCGGCGUGCUUAACACAUGCAAGUCGAGCGAGGCCCCUCCUUCGGGAGGGUGUCCUAGCGGCGAACGGGUGAGUAACACGUGGGCAACCUGCCCUCAGCUCUGGGAUAACUCCGGGAAACCGGGGCUAAUACCGGAUACGACCUCCACGGGCAUCUGCGGAGGUGGAAAGUUUUUCGGCUGAGGAUGGGCCCGCGGCCUAUCAGCUAGUUGGUGGGGUAGUGGCCCACCAAGGCGACGACGGGUAGCCGGCCUGAGAGGGCGACCGGCCACACUGGGACUGAGACACGGCCCAGACUCCUACGGGAGGCAGCAGUGGGGAAUAUUGCGCAAUGGGCGAAAGCCUGACGCAGCGACGCCGCGUGAGGGACGAAGGCCUUCGGGUUGUAAACCUCUUUCAGCAGGGACGAAGCGAAAGUGACGGUACCUGCAGAAGAAGCACCGGCCAACUACGUG